CAGCAGCCGCGGGAAUACGAAGGGUGCAAGCGUUAAUCGGAAUUACUGGGCGUAAAGCGUGCGUAGGCGGUGAGUUAAGUCUGCUGUGAAAUCCCCGGGCUCAACCUGGGAAUGGCAGUGGAUACUGGCUCGCUAGAGUGUGUCAGAGGAUGGUGGAAUUCCCGGUGUAGCGGUGAAAUGCAUAGAGAUCGGGAGGAACAUCAGUGGCGAAGGCGGCCAUCUGGGACAACACUGACGCUGAGGCACGAAAGCGUGGGGAGCAAACAGGAUUAGAUACCCCGGUAGUCCCUGUCUCUUAUAC
This 301-nucleotide ribosomal RNA is filed under the name uncultured bacterium. RNAcentral's name for it is "partial 16S ribosomal RNA". It matches the Rfam family "Bacterial small subunit ribosomal RNA", at positions 509 to 807 of the family's 1533-position model. The record is from RNAcentral.